UACGAAGGGGGCUAGCGUUGCUCGGAAUUACUGGGCGUAAAGGGCGCGUAGGCGGUCAGCACAAGUCAGUUGUGAAAUCUCCGGGCUUAACUCGGAAAGGUCAACUGAUACUGUGCGGCUAGAGUGCGGAAGGGGCAACUGGAAUUCUUGGUGUAGCGGUGAAAUGCGCAGAUAUCAGGAGGAACACCGAUGGCGAAGGCAGGUCUCUGGGCCACUACUGACGCUGAGAAGCGAAAGCAUGGGGAGCGAACAGG
Molecule: ribosomal RNA, 254 nt
Filed under: uncultured bacterium
Lineage: Bacteria
Description: partial 16S ribosomal RNA
Rfam family: Bacterial small subunit ribosomal RNA
Source: RNAcentral